RNAcentral lists this ribosomal RNA (449 nucleotides) under uncultured bacterium. RNAcentral describes it as "partial 16S ribosomal RNA". It matches the Rfam family "Bacterial small subunit ribosomal RNA", at positions 354 to 796 of the family's 1533-position model. The record is from RNAcentral.
GUCGAGAAUCUUUCACAAUGGGGGCAACCCUGAUGGAGCGACGCCGCGUGGAGGAUAAGGUCUUCGGAUUGUAAACUCCUGUCAUGCGUGAACAAGGUUGCUUGGUUAAUACCUGGGCAAAUUGAUGGUAACGCAAGAGGAAGAGACGGCUAACUCUGUGCCAGCAGCCGCGGUAAUACAGAGGUCUCAAGCGUUGUUCGGAAUCACUGGGCGUAAAGGGUGCGUAGGUGGCGUGGUAAGUCAGAUGUGAAAGCCCGGGGCUCAACCUCGGAACUGAAUCCGAUACUGCCAUGCUAGAGUACUGGAGAGGUGACUAGAAUUCUCGGUGUAGCAGUGAAAUGCGUAGAUAUCGAGAGGAAUACCAAAGGCGUAGGCAGGUCACUGGACAGUUACUGACACUGAGGCACGAAGGCCAGGGGAGCGAACGGGAUUAGAUACCCUUGUAGUCC